ACUAAAUAGAUACCCGGGUAGUCCUAGCUGUAAACGAUGGGCACUUGGUGUUGGGGGUAUUGAGUCCCCCGGUGCCGGAGUUAAACACGUUAAAGUGCCCCGCCUGGGGAGUACGGUCGCAAGACUGAAACUCAAAGGAAUUGACGGGGCCCGCACAAGCGGUGGAGCAUGUGGUUCAAUUCGACGCAACGCGAAGAACCUUACCGGGGCUUGAACAGCAACUGCAACUCGAUGAAAGUCGGGGUUCUCUUCGGAGACGGUUGUAGAGGUGCUGCAUGGCUGUCGUCAGCUCGUGUCGUGAGAUGUUGGGUUAAGUCCCGCAACGAGCGCAACCCUUGCCCUUAGUUGCCAUCAGGUCAAGCUGGGCACCC
RNAcentral lists this ribosomal RNA (371 nucleotides) under uncultured bacterium. RNAcentral's name for it is "bacterial SSU rRNA". It matches the Rfam family "Bacterial small subunit ribosomal RNA", at positions 772 to 1140 of the family's 1533-position model. The record is from RNAcentral.